UGACCGAUUUUGCUUUUAUCAGCAAAGAAAAAUAGGCCAGACGGACAGCCGGGUCAAAUGCCGA
Molecule: small RNA, 64 nt
Filed under: unclassified sequences
Description: Streptococcus sRNA SpF59 (ldcC RNA)
Rfam family: Streptococcus sRNA SpF59 (ldcC RNA)
Source: Rfam by way of RNAcentral